UGAAUUUCGGGAUUAUAGGAUCGGUCGUGCCUCUGGUACGUACUGUCUCAGUCGCCUUGACCCCUCUGAAGAACCGUGAUGUCAUUAAUUUGGUGUUACGGGGAAUCAGGACUGUUACCUUGAAAAAAUUAGAGUGUUUAAAGCAGGCUAACGCUUGAAUACAUUAGCAUGGAAUAAUGAAAUAGGACGUUCGAACCUAUUUUGUUGGUUUCUAGGAUCGACGUAAUGAUUAAUAGGGAUGGUUGGGGGCAUUAGUAUUCGAUUGUCAGAGGUGAAAUUCUUGGAUUUAUUGAAGACUAACUACUGCGAAAGCAUUUGCCAAGGAUGUUUUCAUUAAUCAAGAACGAAAGUUAGGGGAUCGAAGACGAUCAGAUACC
Molecule: ribosomal RNA, 377 nt
Filed under: uncultured Glomus
Lineage: Eukaryota; Fungi; Glomeromycota; Glomeromycetes; Glomerales; Glomeraceae
Description: bacterial SSU rRNA
Rfam family: Eukaryotic small subunit ribosomal RNA
Source: RNAcentral